This is a non-coding RNA of Pangasianodon hypophthalmus (striped catfish), 923 nucleotides long. The record is from the annotation of a RefSeq genome assembly. Lineage: Eukaryota; Metazoa; Chordata; Actinopteri; Siluriformes; Pangasiidae.
CGUGUAUCAACAUCACAGUUUAACCGCAACCAAUGAGCUGCUAGAGAGAGCGAGAGAGCAGUUUUCCACUGACGUGGACCAAUCAGAUUAAAGAACACACAACCGCAUGAAAGAGCUUCAGCAGCACGAGCCGCUCAGCACCAGUGUCUGAGAUGGAGACAUCAAGAGUCGCUCUCAUCGCUCUCGUGUGUGUUGUGUUCUCCAGUCAGAAGAGGAUCUCUGGAGCAGAAGUGGAGAUGAGAGUCAGACGAGGAGACGACGUCACUCUCUACUGCGACUGUGUUUGGAAAAGUGGAUUAAAAACAGUGUGGUUUAGAAACUGCUCAGAAAAGGAUCAUCCUCGUUUCAUGAUCUCACUUGAUGAUUUGAUAGCUAGUGAGGUAUCGGGUGGUGAUUUGACACGUUACUCAUUUCUUGUAAAUGAUUCCACCAACACACACGAUCUACUGAUUAAGAACGUCACAGAAUCAGAUCAGGGCCUGUACUACUGCGCUAUGAGUGAGAAAAAGUUCAUGGAUAAUAACAACAGUGUCACGUACCCCCACGAUGUGUAUCAUUAUGGAAACAGAUCCACUCGACUCUCUGUACUCGGUAAGAUUGUCUCCUAUUCAUUGAGUUGGAUUUUCAGUCAUUUGUAAUUCUUGCUGUUUGAAAUGUGUGAGUUUUUCUCAGCAGAACCCUGUCCCAGUGUUUGUGUGUGUGUGUGUGUGUGUUCCUCAGCAGAACCCUGUCGCAGUGUGUGUGAGCCGUGUGUAUCAGAGCGGAGUGUUAGCUGGAAGCUGGUGUUCAGUGUGUGUGUUGUGUGUGUUCUCCUCUCCUCACUCCUCUCCUCCAUCUGUGUGUACUGCCUCUGCACAAACACCACUAAAGGUACUCACACACUCGCUCUAAUCACUAACACUGUUUCAGCAUUAAAUACAACA